Molecule: ribosomal RNA, 274 nt
Filed under: uncultured bacterium
Lineage: Bacteria
Description: partial 16S ribosomal RNA
Rfam family: Bacterial small subunit ribosomal RNA
Source: RNAcentral
AUACGGAGGGAGCUAGCGUUAUUCGGAAUUACUGGGCGUAAAGCGCACGUAGGCGGCUUUGUAAGUAAGAGGUGAAAGCCCAGAGCUCAACUCUGGAAUUGCCUUUUAGACUGCAUCGCUAGAAUCAUGGAGAGGUCAGUGGAAUUCCGAGUGUAGAGGUGAAAUUCGUAGAUAUUCGGAAGAACACCAGUGGCGAAGGCGGCUGACUGGACAUGUAUUGACGCUGAGGUGCGAAAGCGUGGGGAGCAAACAGGAUUAGAAACCCCGGUAGUCC